Molecule: unclassified non-coding RNA, 562 nt
Filed under: Curvularia buchloes
Lineage: Eukaryota; Fungi; Ascomycota; Dothideomycetes; Pleosporales; Pleosporaceae
Description: sequence contains 18S rRNA gene, ITS1, 5.8S rRNA gene, ITS2
Rfam family: 5.8S ribosomal RNA (bases 197-350)
Source: RNAcentral
GGUCUCCGUAGGUGAACCUGCGGAGGGAUCAUUACACAAUAAAAUACGAAGGCCGUUCGCGGCUGGACUAUUUAUUACCCUUGUCUUUUGCGCACUUGUUGUUUCCUGGGCGGGUUCGCUCGCCACCAGGACCACAAUAUAAACCUUUUUUAUGCAGUUGCAAUCAGCGUCAGUAUAACAAAUGUAAAUCAUUUACAACUUUCAACAACGGAUCUCUUGGUUCUGGCAUCGAUGAAGAACGCAGCGAAAUGCGAUACGUAGUGUGAAUUGCAGAAUUCAGUGAAUCAUCGAAUCUUUGAACGCACAUUGCGCCCUUUGGUAUUCCAAAGGGCAUGCCUGUUCGAGCGUCAUUUGUACCCUCAAGCUUUGCUUGGUGUUGGGCGUUUUUGUCUUUGGCCCGCCAAAGACUCGCCUUAAAAUGAUUGGCAGCCGGCCUACUGGUUUCGCAGCGCAGCACAUUUUUGCGCUUGCAAUCAGCAAAAGAGGACGGCAAUCCAUCAAGACUCCUUCUCACGUUUGACCUCGGAUCAGGUAGGGAUACCCGCUGAACUUAAGCAUAUCA